This is a long non-coding RNA of Branchiostoma belcheri (Belcher's lancelet), 518 nucleotides long. RefSeq lists it as uncharacterized. NCBI's taxonomy places the organism in Eukaryota, Metazoa, Chordata, Leptocardii, Amphioxiformes, Branchiostomatidae. The transcript has 3 exons. The record is from RefSeq and is a predicted model, not a curated record.
GGGGACCAUUCAUUCAGUCAGUCGGUCGCCAGCUACCCGCGAGGACGUACUAAACUUUCGUUGUACCAACUGACAAACUAUUUGACUUAUUUGACUCAUUUGCCGUAUCAACGAUACUUACAACUGGACCCCUGAACGGUAUUCAACUAAUGCUUCUACUGUUAGACGAGACGAACCCGCAGACGAGGCCGCACUCCGCGUGGCCGUACCCCGGACCACUGAGAACAACUGCCCUCCUCUCCACCAGCGAUAACAGACUCCCAAAACAUUGCCCAGGCCGGCGGGCGUGGAGAUACGUAGCCCCUUUGCCUUCUCUAAACCAGGGAUACAGACACAAAAAGUUGCAAUACCAUGUGCCUGAGCUAGUGCGCAAGCUCUAGCCGGCAGUUGCCGUGCUAAAGCCGGGACAAUCACAUAUGCCAGAAGCCGUGGUCACAGCUGACUCAAGCCUCCCGGUCACAGAGCUGAUCAUGACAACUGACUCCAGUCUCCUUUGUGUAAAAUUUUGCUUCGAUAUU